CAUUACUUAAAGGAAGAUGGGCAAGGAGGGUGUUGCAACCAGAGUUUUAGCAGGAGGCAUUACAUCACAGUAAGCUGCGUCACGGGUGUCAUUUGUGAUGAUUUGAAACCAUAGAAACAAAUCAAAGCUACAGCUCAUGUUUGCAUUGAGCUAAGAUUGCAGGCGCGUGAACUGUUCACACCACCAAAAAUGAGUAAUUUCACUGCUGUAGAAAGAAGACUAGUGACAAAGAUGGAACAGUGAGAAAAGCACCACAUCAGAACUCUGUGAAUCUCUUGCUACUAAUUUUGCUCAAGUACCCAUCCCUUUAGCAUACCACCUAUGUUUAAGGAAAUGGCUCCAUCCCCAACUCAGGCAAAUGUAUUCUGAUUAUUUUAAGCCAUUUAUCUUAGUUCCAUGGUAUCCUUUUUAGGCCAAAGAGAUAUGAGGAGGGGUUGGAUGAAGGCUUCUGGAAAAAUUUCUCCACUUUUAAGUAGGUAACACUGAAAAAUCAGACCUUUUCAGCUUCUCCACUUCAUUCUGUCUGGAUGUGAUACCUAGAAAUGCUACCAGCUGAGGAAGAAGCCAAAAUGUGGAGAAGGACAGAAUCAAGAGAAUUGCAAAGAAGCUGAGUUGGAAUCCUGACAAACCACGCUGGAGUGGCCCUACCUCCGUUGUUUCAGGCAUUUUGAGUCAGGGCUUUCUGGUACUUACAGUCAAAGGCAUCUAAAUGACAGUCUCCAAAAUUCACCAUAGCAUUGUGUAAGAGGCAA
Molecule: long non-coding RNA, 752 nt
Filed under: Homo sapiens (human)
Lineage: Eukaryota; Metazoa; Chordata; Mammalia; Primates; Hominidae
Description: non-protein coding LINC01032:2
Source: RNAcentral